UUCCUGUAGUUAAGAUUUAUUUUAACGGUAGCUUUUCGAGCUGUAAA
This 47-nucleotide transfer RNA is filed under the name Rhinoplax vigil (Helmeted hornbill). RNAcentral's name for it is "partial tRNA-Glu". The record is from RNAcentral. Lineage: Eukaryota; Metazoa; Chordata; Aves; Bucerotiformes; Bucerotidae.